This 76-nucleotide transfer RNA is filed under the name Caudoviricetes sp. RNAcentral's name for it is "tRNA-OTHER". It matches the Rfam family "tRNA". Rfam says of the family: Transfer RNA (tRNA) molecules are approximately 80 nucleotides in length. The record is from RNAcentral. Lineage: Duplodnaviria; Heunggongvirae; Uroviricota; Caudoviricetes.
UGCCGCUUCGUUUAGUUGGCGAGGACAACGGACUCUAACUCCGUCUUACUGGGUUCGAUUCCCAGAGCGGCAACCA